Ictalurus punctatus (channel catfish) is the source of this 145-nucleotide small nuclear RNA. Its record names the gene U1. It matches the Rfam family "U1 spliceosomal RNA". From Rfam's summary of the family: U1 is a small nuclear RNA (snRNA) component of the spliceosome (involved in pre-mRNA splicing). Its 5' end forms complementary base pairs with the 5' splice junction, thus defining the 5' donor site of an intron. NCBI's taxonomy places the organism in Eukaryota, Metazoa, Chordata, Actinopteri, Siluriformes, Ictaluridae. The record is from Ensembl.
AUACUUACCUGGCAGGGGCAAUACCAUGAUCAAGAAGGUGAGGUCAUUGCACUCAGGCUGUGCUGACCUUUGCGAAUUCUCCAGAUGUGGGAAUCUCGACUGCAUAAUUUCUGCUAGUGGGGGACUGCGUUCGCACUCUCCCCUG